AGUGAACGCUGGCGGUAGGCCUAACACAUGCAAGUCGAACGGCGGCACAGUAAGAGCUUGCUCUUACGGGUGGCGAGUGGCGGACGGGUGAGGAAUACAUCGGAAUCUACUUUUUCGUGGGGGAUAACGUAGGGAAACUUACGCUAAUACCGCAUACGACCUACGGGUGAAAGCAGGGGAUCUUCGGACCUUGCGCGAUUGAAUGAGCCGAUGUCGGAUUAGCUAGUUGGCGGGGUAAAGGCCCACCAAGGUGACGAUCCGUAGCUGGUCUGAGAGGAUGAUCAGACACACUGGAACUGAGACACGGUCCAGACUCCUACGGGAGGCAGCAGUGGGGAAUAUUGGACAAUGGGCGCAAGCCUGAUCCAGCCAUACCGCGUGGGUGAAGAAGGCCUUCGGGUUGUAUAGCCCUUUUGUUGGGAAAGAAAAGCAGCAGGUUAAUACCCCGCUGUUCUGACGGUACCCAAAGAAUAAGCACCGGCUAACUUCGUG
RNAcentral lists this ribosomal RNA (492 nucleotides) under uncultured bacterium. Its description in RNAcentral is "partial 16S ribosomal RNA". It matches the Rfam family "Bacterial small subunit ribosomal RNA", at positions 29 to 507 of the family's 1533-position model. The record is from RNAcentral.